CCUCCAGCCCAACUGCCUGAGACGAUCCGUAUUUCUGUAACCGGGGCUGCGGCGCGGCUCUGCGAUCCGCGGGGCGAGCCCGAGUCCCAGGUCCGCCGGCACGGCGGGCGGCGCGGAGGGAGGCGGCGCCCCGGCCCGGCCCGGCCCGGCCCCGGCCCGCCGCUCCGCGUCCCUCCGCUUCGCUCCGCCGGCCGCUGCCGGGCUGCGGGGAGGCAGCGCAGGGGCGGGCGGCGGCGGAGCUGCCGCGGGGCACCCGCCGGUGCGAUGCGGUGCGGCGUGGUGUCGGGGGCUGAUGGACGGUUAGCCUGGAGAGACUCUUAAGAAACCUAUGGUUAAUUGCAUACACUUAAGCGCAAUUUGGGACCAGCUCCAGUGUCCGUGCUCUGCCUUGCGACCCCGAUUCAUCCAAGCUCGCCUCGUGGCGAUGCCGAGGCAGUUCCGCUCCGGGCGCUCGCCCCUGGCCCGUGGGGAGCGCACCGCCGUGUGCGCAGCCCCCAACGCGUCCGUCCUGCCGGCAGCCCACGUAGGGGGCGCGGGCAGAGCCGCCCCUGCGUGCCCGCAUAGGCCGCUGCGCCGCCCCGGCCCGCACCUGAGCCCACCGCGAGCUUCGCCCCGGCAGCGGGGGGAUGCGGCGGGCAGCGGCUGCCCCAGCCUCGCAGCCUGCAAACGCCGAAAGUCAUCAGCAAGCCCCUUCACCGGCAACAGGGACCACAUCGAGAGAGCGGGAUGAGUCCCCGAGCUAUCGAAAUAAUUCUUUAGGCUCGGACCGAAAAGAAAAAAAAAAGCUCAUCAAACCGUGUGUAUUAUUUUUGCAACAUCUGCGAUUGAGCAUUAGCCCGUAUUUAACCAAAUAAAGUCAUUUUUACGUUUA
Dromaius novaehollandiae (emu) is the source of this 871-nucleotide long non-coding RNA. RefSeq lists it as uncharacterized. The record is from RefSeq and is a predicted model, not a curated record. The transcript has 2 exons. NCBI's taxonomy places the organism in Eukaryota, Metazoa, Chordata, Aves, Casuariiformes, Dromaiidae.